CUGAACCAGCCAAGUAGCGUGCAGGACGACGGCCCUCCGGGUUGUAAACUGCUUUUAGUUGGGAAUAAAGUGCAGCUCGUGAGCUGUUUUGUAUGUACCAUCAGAAAAAGGACCGGCUAAUUCCGUGCCAGCAGCCGCGGUAAUACGGAAGGUCCAGGCGUUAUCCGGAUUUAUUGGGUUUAAAGGGAGCGCAGGCGGACUCUUAAGUCAGUUGUGAAAGUUUGCGG
RNAcentral lists this ribosomal RNA (227 nucleotides) under uncultured bacterium. RNAcentral describes it as "partial 16S ribosomal RNA". It matches the Rfam family "Bacterial small subunit ribosomal RNA", at positions 383 to 607 of the family's 1533-position model. The record is from RNAcentral.